RNAcentral lists this transfer RNA (90 nucleotides) under Sphingomonas sp. Leaf34. RNAcentral's name for it is "tRNA-Ser". It matches the Rfam family "tRNA". From Rfam's summary of the family: Transfer RNA (tRNA) molecules are approximately 80 nucleotides in length. Their secondary structure includes four short double-helical elements and three loops (D, anti-codon, and T loops). The record is from RNAcentral. Lineage: Bacteria; Pseudomonadati; Pseudomonadota; Alphaproteobacteria; Sphingomonadales; Sphingomonadaceae.
GGAAGAGUGUCCGAGUGGUUUAAGGAACUGGUCUUGAAAACCAGCGAGGGUGUAAGCCCUCCGUGGGUUCGAAUCCCACCUCUUCCGCCA